This is a long non-coding RNA of Peromyscus californicus insignis, 5771 nucleotides long. RefSeq lists it as uncharacterized. NCBI's taxonomy places the organism in Eukaryota, Metazoa, Chordata, Mammalia, Rodentia, Cricetidae. The record is from RefSeq and is a predicted model, not a curated record. The transcript is spliced from 4 exons.
CAGAGGCUACGGCUAGAACUACAAUGCCCAGGAUGCUCCGGUCGGAGUGCCCAGAGAGAGACCGGACCGGCCGCCAUGUUGAAGCUCAGGAGCCGCUGCGGGCCGAGGCUUCGGCGCUCGUGGAGCUGAGAAGUGGCGUGGUGAGAAUGGUGAGGCAGAGGAUGUAGGGGUUGAUAACCUCGAGCACUGGCUGGGACUGGACGGAGACUACACUGGGGGUGGGCAGGGCCGUGGGACCGGCGAUGGCCUCGCGAGUCGGCGUGAGCUUCAACCCGCCGGGCUUGCACAGGGCCUCACGCCUUUCCCUCGGCUUUUUAGCGGGGGACCCAGGAAGUCGCUUCACUUCUGGGCGCGAAGGAAACCUUAGAUUGUUCCUAGCGGGACAUUCUGGGCAGGAGGUGUCUUUGUUGUGUUCUGGGGGCCGGGGACGGCGGGCCUCGCGCCAGGUUGGACAAGAAGCCCGCUUGCACCCGAUGAGUGGGGCUAAACCUAGGUUAAUUUUUUUGUCGUGUUGCCAUUUUUUUCUCUAACCCUCAUGCCCUCUUCCUCAAGUGUCUGACCCCCCCUCGCGCGCGCGCGCUCGUACUCUCUCCCCCUCCCUCCCUCUCUCCCCCUCCUUCCCUCCCCUCCUCCCCCUCUCUCUCCCCCCCUCCCCCCGUAAUGAUUUGCAAAGGGCCUCAAAGAAUAAUCAUUAGUAGAUAACUGAGCGCGAAGGGUUGUAUCUUUGGUCCCGAAAAUAAGAAAGACAAGGUGCUACCAAAAGUAGUUAGCACCUAAUCUUUCUUACCCACCAGUAAGUAAAAGACAUUGAAAAGGGACUGCAAGUGAGCAAUCUUACUCAGGACUCAUGCUGAAUGAACUAUGCUAAAAUACUUAGGAUACUCAAAGUUGGUAACCAUGCAUCACCAACUUACCUUUUCUUCCUUUGUUAGCAUAUAUUAACAAAAGUAUGCAAAACGAUUAUUCCGUUGUGACAUCUUAAUGCAGAUAACCUUAGUUAAUGCAUUAACCAACCCCUUCCGUUACCCACUUUGGUACCCAACCAAUUAAAGUGCAUUGUCUUCUUUGGCAUAUUUCAAAUGUAUGAUUACUUCAAGAACUUUUGAGUCCUUUUUUUUGAUCAUCUCAAAUUAUCUGUUUUCCUCAGUUGCAUAACUAAAGCAGUACUGUGUGUUUGUUUUUCAGAUUCUGAAGUUCACUAUGGAAAGAUGGGAAAUUUUACUUCCUACCUAGGGUCUUUGAAGAGUUAAAAAUGCUGAUAAGCAUAACUUGUGUUGUUUAUUCUCCUCUUUUGCAUUUAAAUCUGAAGACUGAGUUUUGUGCAGGAGAUGUAGCUCAGUGAUGAGGAGUCACCUAGCAUACUCAAGGCUCUGGUUGGAUCCCCAGCAUUGGUUUGUUUGCAUCAGUGAAAAUACACACUAUGCCUCUGUUAGAACUUAAUAAAAUUCAACUGAUAAAUAUAUCUUCCUUUCAAAAAAGUAAGCACAUUGGUUUUUAAAUUGCCAAAACACAGUAGGAACAGUCAAAGGUGUAUGCAGAUGAUGGCGGUUAAAAAAAGUUUUCCAAGAUUCAUCUUAUGUUGUGAGAAGAAGCCAGGAGAGUGGCAAAAGCCAUUCUUGCAUAAAUUCAACCAUGUAAAAGCCUCGGAAAUAUUGCUGUUCUUCUGCCUGGAAUGAUGGUAAGUACUACAAAGGAAACAAAGUGUUUACCAUUUCCUUUCUGCCCUUAGAUUUAACUGUAGGGUUUAGACUAAUGAAUCUUUAGUUUAUAAAACAUUUAUAUGAGCAAUAAUCUUAGUUUGAGUUACUGUGGAAGACUGAUUUAUUGAAAGAAAAAUAGCAGAUUGUUUGGAAAUAGUGUGAAAAAUGGGACCAAUAUAAUAUAAUGGAUUCUAUAAUUUGUCAUGUGAUUGAGUGCUUUGAAGUGUUUUAGCCUUAAAUAUAAUGGAUAUUCAGCCAUAAAUGUGUGGUAAAAAAUAAUCGGUGUAUUUUAGAAAGACUGUACAAGUUAAGUCUUUAAUAGGAAAAAAAAAAUUUCCAUGUUCUUUAGAAACAUAAGGCAAGAAAAGGAAAACAUUUUACCAGGGGAAAAAAAAUGUAUUUUCAGACCUUCUCUUUGAUUAAGGAAAAUGUUUGCCAUAGUGUACAUUUCCCUAAGUGGACACAGAUGGACACACCAUUUGGAUUUAGCUACUGUGGGUUUGUUUUUUUGUUUGUUUGUUUGUUUGUAACAAUCUUUUAAUUCAUUUCAGAUAAUAAAACUUAUUUCUCAUAUUUUAGACAUUCUUACUUUGAAUUGACAAUAGUUAGAAAACGAAAGUCUCACGUUAGUACCAUAGGUGUGGUAUUUGUAACAGUUUGACAUAGAUUUUGCUUCUGGAUUUACUAUCUGGCUUAAGGUAAAUGCAGCAAAUGUCUCAGGGUCAAAUUUAAAGUCAAGCUAGGCAGUAGUGGUGCACACCUUAAUCCCACUACAGGAGCGACAGAGGCAGGUGGAUCUCUGAGCUCAAGGCCAGCCUGGUCUACAGAAUAAAUUCCAGGAUGGCCAGGGCUACACAGAGAAACUUUGCCUCUAAACUUAAAUAAAUACAAGUCUAAAUGACUUCAAAUUAUUUUACCUAGAAAAGCAUCUACCAUCUUUUUUCUAUCUUACCAUCUCAUUUCUCAGAUUUUAACAGGUUUGGACAAUUAAAGGGACAUGUAGAACAUGUCUUUGCAAGAAGAUAAAUGCUGAUAAACUGUGUGUUGGUGAACAUAACCAUUUCAGGAAAUUUAGAGAUUUAACUGGAAGGAUAAAUACAAAUGAAAAAAACAAAAACCACUAAGAGUUACAUAUAAUGAAAUACUUAAAAGCAUCAGAGAUCCAAUACAGGUGUCUGGAAAAUGUGGGCGUGGCUGUAUCUAGUGGACCUGGUACAUGCAUACUACAAGCUUGCCAAAAAACACACGGAAAAAGAAGAGCAAUUUUAAGAGAAUAUUCAAUUCAAGGAGCAUCAUGGAGACAAUGCAUGGCAAUACUCUGCUCAGUAAAUAAGCUCGGAGUUGUUUCUAAUGUAAGAAUAUCUUAGUAUCCUAAGGUUACAUUCUCAACAGAAAACAAAUACUGACAUAUAUUUAGCUAUCAUUUUUCAGUACUUGAAGUGUAAGCUCAAAUCCAGGCCAUCAGGUAACUGAGCAGGUAAACCUGAGUUUGAACCCCAGAACCCACUGUACAAGGACCUCAUGAAAGUUGUCCUCUGACCUUGUGUCUGCCAACCUGAAUUCGCGCACAUAUAUAUUAUACACUAACAAUUAAAGAGACAAGUCUGCUUGGCAGUAUCUGUUAACAAGGAGAGGAGGUGAGAAUACAACUGAUUGGUUCAACCUGAAGUCCACUGCAUAGGAAUGGCUACUCAAUCAGGAGGCCGCAAAAAGAAAAUUGCAUUCUUAAGUAUUACCACUCUGCAUAUAACCCAAAGAGGUGCAGCAACAAUUGUCAAACAGACCUGGUGACAAAAGGCAUACCAUCUGCAUGGUUUCAUAAACAGCAGGACUUGGGAAGUUGGGGGUUUAGAGCUAACUUAUAGAUAACAAGUCGGUGUCUCCGAAAAUAAAUCCUGGUUGCUGCAAUUAAAGUGUAAUCAUCCUUCAACUCUACUCCAAGAAAAAUAGUUCCGAAAUUUUUGGAGCUUGUGCUUAUACCUCACAAUCCAACAGUUCUUAAUCCCUCCACACACAAACAUGUUUUCAUAUGCUUGUCCUGAAGGAAAAGCAGUUUAGGCAGAAACAUUCUUUGGACAAAGAAAAUAAUAAAGGUGAAGAAUGAUUCCCAAGCCCCUCUGAUCCACAAAGGUAGCCUUAGACCAGUGUCUAAUUAUCGAUUGAAGAAGAAACAAUUUCAUUUAACAAUUAAAAAUAAGUACCAAGCUAGGCAAUGGUCAUGCACGCCUUUAAUCCCAGCACUUGGGAGGCAGAGGCAAGCAGAUCUCAGUAAGCUUGAGACCAGCCUGGUCUACAGAGCUAGUUCCAGGACAGCCAGGGCUGUUACACAGAGAAAUGCUGUCUCAAAAACAAAAAAGUGAGUACCUGACAGUAAAGCCUGACCCUGUCAGUACUGAUACAACUUACUGUGAGUGGUCCUUAGUAACAGAAACAGUUAUCUCUAUAAUGCCCAAUGCUGAGGUCAGUGGGCACAUUAUAGUGCACACAUGGACACUGUUACUCUAAACUUCAGGAACUUGGGCUGGAGAGAUGGCUCAAAGGUUAAGAGCACUGGCUGCUCGAGUUCAAUUCCCGACAACCACAUGGUGGCUCACUCCAAGAACUUGAAUGCUGCAUUGUUACUGAUCCUAAGCACAUACAAGAAAGGACUUGUGACCGAUUAUUUCCCUUUCAGAACAGUUGUCUGCUUGGGUCAUAUGGUACAGUAAAUACAUUGGAUAUGUCACAAUCUCAAAAUAACUAGACUGAGACACAGUUUUACAUUGUAGCCAAGGUUGGCCUCAAACUUGGCAAUCCAAUCUCUUUGCCCCCUGAAUUCUAGUAAUUUUUUUUUAAAAUGAGAGUUUACUUUUUAUGUGUAUGGAGGCUGGAGAAUAAGUGUAUAUAAGUGCUGAUGUUGGAGGAGGCCAAAGCUCUCCCUGGAAAUUAAGGUACUAUGAGGUACCCAACUUGCAUGCUGGAACCCAAACUCCUGCCCACUGCUAGAGCAGCGUUCUUUGUUGUUUUGUUUUUUCGAGACAGGGUUUCUCUGUGUAGCUUUGGAGCCUGUCCUGGAACUCACUCUGUAGCCCAGGCUGGCCUCGAACUCACAGAGAUCCACCUGCCUCUGCCUCCCUAGUGCUGGGACUAAAGGCAUGCACCACCACUGCCCGGCUACCGUGUUCAUUCUUAACCACUGGGCCAUCUCUCCAGCUUCUAGAGAGCUACUUUUUUUUUUUUAACUUUAGUUCAUUCAUUGAGUCCAUGUGAUCCUACUUUCUUUUUUUUUUUUCCCCCUGAGCUUGCUCCCACCCAGUCUUUUGAGACAGGACUCAAAAGUUUUCCAGAUUACCCUAUAAUUUAGAAUCCUCUUGUUUCAGCCUUGUAGGAACUGGGAUUACAGGCUACCAUACCCUGUUCUAAAAAUAAUUAGGAGCCAGGUGUGGUGGUGGUGCAUCUGGGAGGCAGCAGUGGGUGGAUCUCUGAGUUCAAGGCCAGGUUGGUCUACAUAGAGAAUCCCAAGACAGCCAGAGCUAUGUAGACUUUUUUUUUAAAGAUAUCUAGGAAGAAAUGUAUGCUUUUAUCACUUGACCUGGAAAUUGUAGUCUACUAAUCUGAAACUAAUAGAGGUAAAAAAAAUUACCUUCAAAAUGUAUAGUACCAGCCGGGCGGGUGAUGGCACACACCUUUAAUCCAGAGCCAGGCGGAUCUCUGGUGUACAGAGCAAGAUCCAGGACAGGCACCAAAACUACACAGAGAAACCCUGUCUCGAAAAAGAAGUAUAAUACCCUCUCCAAAUUAAUUACAAUAGCAGAACGGUUCAAGUUUCUAGCCCCUCUUUCACUGCAGCAUGACUUGUUCACAUAUUAGCAAGCUGCAUUUAGCAGCUAGAUAGUGUUGGUAUUUGAAUAUGCUCUUUUCUUCUGUUUGGCAUGAACACAGCUGUGGUGUAGUUGUUUAAUUCAUAUGUUGUUAAAUUACAAAACUGAUAUGUUGCUUAGUUUUGUAAUAUUUGGCUUGUCACAUUUUAUAAUUUUUGUAAGAUUGUGUACUAGAGGUUUUUGAUUUCAUAAUGAAAUCCUUUGGUCUGGA